RNAcentral lists this ribosomal RNA (784 nucleotides) under uncultured Mollicutes bacterium. Its description in RNAcentral is "bacterial SSU rRNA". It matches the Rfam family "Bacterial small subunit ribosomal RNA", at positions 8 to 793 of the family's 1533-position model. Lineage: Bacteria; Bacillati; Mycoplasmatota; Mollicutes. The record is from RNAcentral.
AGAGUUUGAUCAUGGCUCAGGAUGAACGCUGGCGGCAUGCCUAAUACAUGCAAGUCGAACGAAGUGCUUUAUGCACUUAGUGGCGAAUGGGUGAGUAACACGUAUUUAAUCUACUUAAUAGUGAGGGACAACAGUUAGAAAUGACUGCUAAUACCGCAUAGUAUAUUUUAUGGCAUCAUAAAAUAUUUAAAGGGGCUUCGGCGUCGCUAUUAGAUGAGGAUGCGGCGUAUUAGCUUGUUGGUAAGGUAAUGGCUUACCAGGGAAUUAUACGUAGCCGGCCUGAGAGGGUGAACGGCCCAUCGGGACUGAGACACGGCCCGGACUCUACGGGAGGCAGCAGUAAGGAAUUUUUCACAAUGGACGAAAGUCUGAUGGAGCAAUGCCGCGUGAUUGAUGACGCCUUAGGGUUGUAAAAAUCUGUUAUAGAGAAAGAAUUGUCAGUAUAGGAAAUGAUAUUGGCUUGACGGUACUUUAUCAGAAAGACACGGCAAACUAUGUGCCAGCAGCCGCGGUAAUACAUAGGUGUCAAGCGUUAUCCGGAUUUAUUGGGCGUAAAGAGUGCGCAGACGGUAUGAUAAGUUUGAGGUUAAAGGCUAGGGCUUAACCCUAGUUCGCCUUGAAAACUGUCUUACUAGAGUGUGGUAGAAGUUGAUGGAAUUUCAUGUGUAGCGGUGGAAUGCGUAGAUAUAUGAAGGAACACCAGUGGCGAAGGCGAUCAACUAUGCUAUUACUGACGUUCAUGCACGAAAGCGUGGGGAGCAAAUAGGAUUAGAUACCCUAGUAG